RNAcentral lists this transfer RNA (74 nucleotides) under Phenylobacterium sp. Its description in RNAcentral is "tRNA-Arg". It matches the Rfam family "tRNA". From Rfam's summary of the family: Transfer RNA (tRNA) molecules are approximately 80 nucleotides in length. Lineage: Bacteria; Pseudomonadati; Pseudomonadota; Alphaproteobacteria; Caulobacterales; Caulobacteraceae. RNAcentral also lists the same sequence under 1 other name. The record is from RNAcentral.
GGCCUCGUAGCUCAGCCGGAUAGAGCAGGGCUUUCCUAAAGCCAAGGUCGGGGGUUCGAGUCCCUCCGAGGCCG